RNAcentral lists this ribosomal RNA (483 nucleotides) under uncultured bacterium. Its description in RNAcentral is "partial 16S ribosomal RNA". It matches the Rfam family "Bacterial small subunit ribosomal RNA", at positions 30 to 507 of the family's 1533-position model. The record is from RNAcentral.
AUUGAACGCUGGCGGCAGGCCUAACACAUGCAAGUCGAGCGGAUGAAGGGAGCUUGCUCCUGGAUUCAGCGGCGGACGGGUGAGUAAUGCCUAGGAAUCUGCCUGGUAGUGGGGGAUAACGUCCGGAAACGGGCGCUAAUACCGCAUACGUCCUGAGGGAGAAAGUGGGGGAUCUUCGGACCUCACGCUAUCAGAUGAGCCUAGGUCGGAUUAGCUAGUUGGUGGGGUAAAGGCCUACCAAGGCGACGAUCCGUAACUGGUCUGAGAGGAUGAUCAGUCACACUGGAACUGAGACACGGUCCAGACUCCUACGGGAGGCAGCAGUGGGGAAUAUUGGACAUGGGCGAAAGCCUGAUCCAGCCAUGCCGCGUGUGUGAAGAAGGUCUUCGGAUUGUAAAGCACUUUAAGUUGGGAGGAAGGGCAGUAAGUUAAUACCUUGCUGUUUUGACGUUACCAACAGAGUAAGCACCGGCUAACUUCGUG